AUGCGCCACUCGUACACUGCAGUUCCAACGCGUCGUCCACAGCCACCGGACGACCGCUCGCUCCACGUGUUAGCC
RNAcentral lists this small RNA (75 nucleotides) under Xanthomonas vasicola. RNAcentral describes it as "sX9 sRNA". It matches the Rfam family "Xanthomonas sRNA sX9". RNAcentral also lists the same sequence under 8 other names. Lineage: Bacteria; Pseudomonadati; Pseudomonadota; Gammaproteobacteria; Lysobacterales; Lysobacteraceae. The record is from RNAcentral.